Long non-coding RNA from Bufo bufo (common toad), 1261 nucleotides. RefSeq lists it as uncharacterized. Lineage: Eukaryota; Metazoa; Chordata; Amphibia; Anura; Bufonidae. The transcript has 2 exons. The record is from RefSeq and is a predicted model, not a curated record.
ACAGCACACGGUGUGUGUCCACAUCUUUUGCGGCCCCAUAGAAAUUAAUAAGUUUUUGGAGUUUUUUCGAUUUGGUAUGUGAGCUCCUGACCAACACAACCGUGUCCCAUCACCCUUUGGUCAGUAUAGCACAAAAAAAGUAUGAAAUAGUGUUGUAAGCUAUGCUAUUGCAUCCUGUGGAGUUCGCCACCAGCUUAAAAUGUGUACAUCAGUAGCUUUUCAUGACACAUCUGGGUGAUGGAGGCCACUGCAUAGAGACACACAGCUUCUGUUUAUGGUAUAUCUUGGGCGCUUUUCCCAGUGUAUACAUUAAAUGAAGGCAAUCAUGAUGUGAACAAGGUCUUACUUUGUCAGUUGCACUCUUUGUAACAAAGGGGCUCUUUAGAGCCUGAUGCUAUAGAGCAAAAUUUCACAGGGUCAUUGAGUUUUCAGAAAACUUUUAAGAUGUCAUAGAGACAUAGCAAGAAUUUUGAUUUGUGGGGUUCUGAGUGCUAGAAUGAGAGAGAAGCACUCGUAUAUCACCCCCAGGGGCAGACUGGGAACUCAAAUUGGGGCCAUUUUUAGAUUUUUCCAGGGCCAUGUUGUAGGUGAGUAAAAAUUGACAGAAGGCAGUGCAAACACAAGUAGAUGGGACCAGCAAUACGGUAUUACGGCACAAAACACUGCCCCAGCAGAGCCAAACACCAUAGUACAGUACAAUGACUGCCCCACUGUGGUGGCCAGUGCCAGCUGCCACAUUCUCUUCUACUCCAGUUGCCUCAGGAUGGCAGUACAGUUGGAGUCAGGAGAGAGAGCACCUGUGGCCGUCAGCCAAGUACAUAAGUCCUUGACGCUCCCAGUAUUAAUUAACUGUGAGUGUGUCUGGCUGGCGGACAUGAGGAGGGUCAUUCCACCCCUGAUCACUGUCUCUUUCUUGCCGCCGGAGAACCAGACUCAAUGGAACGGCUAUUGUCUGUCUUGAUUCAGUCUUCUGCAGUGAGGGGAGAGUGUGCUAUGUGAUUGAUGGGGGGUCUCAGCACUCAGACCCUCACUGAUGAAAACCUUUGAUAUAUCUCUGACCUGUGAAAGCUCAGUGACCCUUUAAAUGGCAUGUAACAGCUCUCAGCAGAAGUAAUUGAAUCUUGCCAAUCUCUGUCUGAUAAAGUACUGUUGUAUUUGCCAAAGCGUUUAACUCUGCUACAUCUUCUGCACAUCAUUGUGUCUGCUUGUAUAGCGAAGUAUCAUUUUUCCAUCCUGUUAAGAAAAUAAAUGUUAAAAUGCC